This 394-nucleotide ribosomal RNA is filed under the name uncultured Sphingobacteriales bacterium. RNAcentral describes it as "bacterial SSU rRNA". It matches the Rfam family "Bacterial small subunit ribosomal RNA", at positions 980 to 1382 of the family's 1533-position model. Lineage: Bacteria; Pseudomonadati; Bacteroidota; Sphingobacteriia; Sphingobacteriales. The record is from RNAcentral.
CUUAAAUGUAGAGUGCAUUUCUAGAGAUGGAAUCCUUCGGGCUUUCUGCAAGGUGCUGCAUGGUUGUCGUCAGCUCGUGCCGUGAGGUGUCGGGUUAAGUCCCAUAACGAGCGCAACCCUUAUCGUUAGUUGCCAUCUGGUAAAGCAGGGGACUCUAGCGAAACUGCCACCGUAAGGUGAGAGGAAGUGGGAUGACGUCAAAUCAGCACGGCCCUUAUGUCCAGGGCUACACACGUGUUACAAUGGCCGGUACAGAGGGCAGCUACCUGGUGACAGGAUGCUAAUCUCGAAAACCGGUCUCAGUUCGGAUCGAAGUCUGCAACUCGACUUCGUGAAGUCGGAAUCGCUAGUAAUCGCAGAUCAGCAUGCUGCGGUGAAUACGUUCCCGGGUCUU